RNAcentral lists this long non-coding RNA (566 nucleotides) under Trifolium pratense (red clover). RNAcentral describes it as "long non-coding RNA (TPRA_LNC011578)". Lineage: Eukaryota; Viridiplantae; Streptophyta; Magnoliopsida; Fabales; Fabaceae. The record is from RNAcentral.
UGAUUUGUUAUAUCCGCAGGACAGGAGAAAAAUAGAGGUAUUGAAAUUCCUCUGAUAAUAACUAGAGGAGACAUUGCGCCACAUAUCAGUAAAUUAGUGAACAGCUUGUGGUUAUGCAUAUUAUUAGAAAGUUGAAUGCACUAAACACAUGACCCAAUAGAAACCAUUGCAGCAUGUAUUCCACCAAAAUAAAAUCCUUUAUACUUGUUAACAAAUAUAAAUUCCUUUAUACUUAUUAAAAUAUUCCUUGGCAAGUGUCUAUCAAUGAGAGAUGUCUUCAGGAAUUUAGCUUGGUUGAUCGUGUUGGAGCUGUUGUUUGGUGAGGUGUUUGGCUAAUCUGAGUGGAUAGUUCUAGUUUUUGCUUGACUUUGGAGUGGUCGUUUUGGUUGUGGCUGUAGUGGGGAUUUCAGGAUUUGUUUGUAAGCUGCCCUUUGUUGCAGUGUAAGGGUUUGUUGCGUAGGUGUUUGUUUGCUUUUAAUCCAGUUGUUCCUUCCUGGUUGUAUAAAGGAACUACUUGCCUUCUUUAUAUGCUUUCUAGCUUCUCUUGUACUUCUUGUUAAAAGAUU